AUGAGCGGGUUCGGGGAGAUAAUCGCGAGCGCCGUGGGGAAACAAGUCGCGGGCAUGCUCGGUGAACUCGCCACGGAGGAGGCCACCCUGCAGUGGAAGUUCAAAGACGAUGUUGAUGUCAUGGCGGACAAGAUGCAAGAUCUGGAGGCCGUUUUGCAUGAUGCGGAUGAUAGGCUGCGUCGACGAGGAAGAGAUGGGGAAGCUGUUGGGCGGUGGCUCACCAAAUUCAAGUCCGUCGCCUACGACGUCGAGGACGUGCUGGACGAUCUGGACGCCACCGAGCUCUUAAAGAAGAGCCAACCAAAGUUGAAGCUGUUCUUUUCCUGGAACAAUCAAAUUCUCCGGCGGAUUACCAUGCCUCACAAGCUGAAGAACCUGAGGGGGGAAAUAGAAAAAGUAGGAAAGGAGGGCCAGGCUCUCAAUCUUGUGAGAAAUCAAGAACGGGCAGAAGGGAGCAGAAACAAUGAAACUUUUGUAGGCAUCUGUGAUGAAGGCUUGAAAUCUGGAGUGGUGGGGAGGGAUAUGGAGAAGGACAAAAUAUUCAGGCUGCUGCUAAACUAUGAUGAUAACGCUAGAGAAGAUAUAUCUAUCGUCUCGAUUGUCGGGCUUGGUGGCCUAGGGUAG
RNAcentral lists this ribosomal RNA (624 nucleotides) under Triticum aestivum (bread wheat). RNAcentral describes it as "partial small subunit ribosomal RNA". The record is from RNAcentral. Lineage: Eukaryota; Viridiplantae; Streptophyta; Magnoliopsida; Poales; Poaceae.